RNAcentral lists this transfer RNA (72 nucleotides) under Camelus bactrianus (Bactrian camel). It matches the Rfam family "tRNA". Rfam says of the family: Transfer RNA (tRNA) molecules are approximately 80 nucleotides in length. Lineage: Eukaryota; Metazoa; Chordata; Mammalia; Artiodactyla; Camelidae. The record is from Rfam by way of RNAcentral. RNAcentral also lists the same sequence under 2 other names.
GGGGUUGUGGCUCACUGGUAGAGCACGUGCCUAGCACGCGUAUGGUUCUGGGUUCAAUCCCCAAUGCCUCCA